UACGGAGGGUGCAAGCGUUAGUCGGAAUUACUGGGCGUAAAGCGCACGCAGGCGGUUUGGUAAGUCAGAUGUGAAAUCCCCGGGCUCAACCUGGGAACUGCAUCCGAUACUGGCGAGCUUGAGUCUGGUAGAGGGGGGUGGAAUUCCAGGUGUAGCGGUGAAAUGCGUAGAGAUGCGGAGGAACACCAGUGGCGAAGGCGGCUCACUGGACGGAGACUGACGCUGAGGUGCGAAAGCGUGGGGAGCAAACAGG
RNAcentral lists this ribosomal RNA (253 nucleotides) under uncultured bacterium. RNAcentral's name for it is "partial 16S ribosomal RNA". It matches the Rfam family "Bacterial small subunit ribosomal RNA", at positions 524 to 776 of the family's 1533-position model. The record is from RNAcentral.